AACGAACGCUGGCGGCAUGCCUAACACAUGCAAGUCGAACGAGACCUUCGGGUCUAGUGGCGCACGGGUGCGUAACGCGUGGGAACCUGCCCUUAGGUUCGGAAUAACUCCCCGAAAGGGGUGCUAAUACCGGAUAAUGUCUUCGGACCAAAGAUUUAUCGCCUUUGGAUGGGCCCGCGUUGGAUUAGCUAGUUGGUAGGGUAAAAGCCUACCAAGGCGACGAUCCAUAGCUGGUCUGAGAGGAUGAUCAGCCACACUGGGACUGAGACACGGCCCAGACUCCUACGGGAGGCAGCAGUGGGGAAUAUUGGACGAUGGGCGAAAGCCUGAUCCAGCAAUGCCGCGUGAGUGAUGAAGGCCUUAGGGUUGUAAAGCUAUUUUACCCGGGAUGAGAAUGACAGUACCGGGAGAAUAAGCUCCGGCUAACUACGUG
RNAcentral lists this ribosomal RNA (433 nucleotides) under uncultured bacterium. RNAcentral's name for it is "partial 16S ribosomal RNA". It matches the Rfam family "Bacterial small subunit ribosomal RNA", at positions 29 to 507 of the family's 1533-position model. The record is from RNAcentral.